RNAcentral lists this ribosomal RNA (1249 nucleotides) under Staphylococcus equorum. RNAcentral describes it as "partial 23S ribosomal RNA". It matches the Rfam family "Bacterial large subunit ribosomal RNA", at positions 1 to 1251 of the family's 2925-position model. Lineage: Bacteria; Bacillati; Bacillota; Bacilli; Caryophanales; Staphylococcaceae. The record is from RNAcentral.
GAUUAAGUUAUUAAGGGCGCACGGUGGAUGCCUUGGCACUAGAAGCCUACGAAGGACGUUACUAACGACGAUAUGCUUUGGGGAGCUGUAAGUAAGCUUUGAUCCAGAGAUUUCCGAAUGGGGAAACCCAGCACGAGUUAUGUCGUGUUAUCGAUAUGUGAAUACAUAGCAUAUCUGAAGGCAGACGCGGGGAACUGAAACAUCUUAGUACCCGCAGGAAGAGAAAGAAAAAUCGAUUCCCUGAGUAGCGGCGAGCGAAACGGGAAGAGCCCAAACCAACAAGCUUGCUUGUUGGGGUUGUAGGACACUCUAUACGGAGUUACAAAAGAACAUGUUAGACGAAUCAUCUGGAAAGAUGAAUCAAAGAAGGUAAUAAUCCUGUAGUCGAAAACAUAUUCUCUCUUGAGUGGAUCCUGAGUACGACGGAGCACGUGAAAUUCCGUCGGAAUCUGGGAGGACCAUCUCCUAAGGCUAAAUACUCUCUAGUGACCGAUAGUGAACCAGUACCGUGAGGGAAAGGUGAAAAGUACCCCGGAAGGGGAGUGAAAGAGAACUUGAAACCGUGUGCUUACAAGUAGUCAGAGCCCGUUAAUGGGUGAUGGCGUGCCUUUUGUAGAAUGAACCGGCGAGUUACGAUCUGAUGCAAGGUUAAGCAGCAAAUGUGGAGCCGCAGCGAAAGCGAGUCUGAAUAGGGCGUUGAGUAUUUGGUCGUAGACCCGAAACCAGGUGAUCUACCCUUGGUCAGGUUGAAGUUCAGGUAACACUGAAUGGAGGACCGAACCGACUUACGUUGAAAAGUGAGCGGAUGAACUGAGGGUAGCGGAGAAAUUCCAAUCGAACUUGGAGAUAGCUGGUUCUCUCCGAAAUAGCUUUAGGGCUAGCCUCAAGUGAUGAUUAUUGGAGGUAGAGCACUGUUUGGACGAGGGGCCCCUCUCGGGUUACCGAAUUCAGAUAAACUCCGAAUGCCAAUUAAUUUAACUUGGGAGUCAGAACAUGGGUGAUAAGGUCCGUGUUCGAAAGGGAAACAGCCCAGACCACCAGCUAAGGUCCCAAAAUAUAUGUUAAGUGGAAAAGGAUGUGGCGUUGCCCAGACAACUAGGAUGUUGGCUUAGAAGCAGCCAUCAUUUAAAGAGUGCGUAAUAGCUCACUAGUCGAGUGACACUGCGCCGAAAAUGUACCGGGGCUAAACAUAUUACCGAAGCUGUGGAUUGUCCUUUGGACAAUGGUAGGAGAGCGUUCUAAGGGCGUC